CAUUGUUCAGUCUGCAUCACGUAAAGUAGGAAUACACAGCACCAAGUUUUAUCCACAAAUUAAUUUAUUUCCUAGAUUUCAAACAUCCAUCAAAACAACCUGUUAUUCUACGAGGAGAUGUUUAUUAAUUACAGGAAUCUUUCCACAAGACCGAUGAGUGGCUAUUUACAUAAUUUUCGAGUGACGCAUUAACACUUCAUUAGUUAGAAUUUCCAACACAAACCACAGUUCAUGGAAAAUUGACCCACCCAGGGAGGUACUUGUACCAUGUAAGUGUCCUGGGAUAACAGCACUAAAACUAAAAGCACCAGGUA
Molecule: long non-coding RNA, 314 nt
Organism: Nanorana parkeri
Lineage: Eukaryota; Metazoa; Chordata; Amphibia; Anura; Dicroglossidae
Exons: 3
Source: RefSeq, a predicted model, not a curated record